GGGGGAUUAGCUCAGCUGGGAGAGCGCGACAAUGGCAUUGUCGAGGCCACGGGUUCGAGCCCCGUAUCCUCCACCA
RNAcentral lists this transfer RNA (76 nucleotides) under Candidatus Brocadiaceae bacterium. Its description in RNAcentral is "tRNA-Ala". It matches the Rfam family "tRNA". Rfam says of the family: Transfer RNA (tRNA) molecules are approximately 80 nucleotides in length. Their secondary structure includes four short double-helical elements and three loops (D, anti-codon, and T loops). Lineage: Bacteria; Pseudomonadati; Planctomycetota; Candidatus Brocadiia; Candidatus Brocadiales; Candidatus Brocadiaceae. The record is from RNAcentral. RNAcentral also lists the same sequence under 1 other name.